AAAAAUUUAAAAAGGGUAAAGAUGAAAAUUAUUUAAUUUUUAAUCUCAAAAAUCCGAAAGUGAUUUUAUCAAUGUCCUAAGAAAAUUAAAAUGAAAACAAACUUAAUAAUGUAAAGAAAGGAGGUUUCUGCCGGGCUGGGGGCGGGAGCUACGGCUUCUCUGGGGACGCGGAAGCGAGAAGCAGGGACCUUGGGGCGCGCCCGGUUUUCCGGGACGGUGCCCCGGCCCCCAGCCCACGCCUCCGGCCGCUGGCAUGGUGCUGCUGGCUGGGACCCGGCCGCAGGGUGGCUGGGAGCGCUGCAUGACCCCGCCACCGCCGUCCCCACUCCUAGGCGCACAGGUCGAGGAGGACCGCGCUGACUACAAAGAGUUCCAGGGCCCCACACCUGCAGCAUAGCCUGGGACGACUCUGUACCCUUUCCAGGACGAGGAGGAGCACGGCGUCGAGGGCUUGGAGAGCGUCCCGGAGGAGGGCGUCCAGGAGGCAUGGGGCUGCUGCGGACGCUGGUGCGGCGAGGGGUGAGCGUUGAGAAGGCGCAGGAGACUGACCACAAUGGCUGGACCAGCCUUAAUGUCGCCUGCUACCACGGCUUUGUGGAUAUACCGUGGUGGCCUUAGCUGAGUAACCCCACACUGACGUCAACUGGCAGGACAGGGAGGGGAACGCAGCCCUAAAUACAGCUGCACAGGCAGGAGCUGCCUCUGGCCCCAUGGGCACCGUUGCCUUGGACACUGGCUCUCAGCCUUGUGCUUCCUGGUCAGCAUCACGUGGGCUGGUUCAUUUGAGCUUUAACACAGAUCUGGUGGAAACACAGGCUGCCAGGCCCUGCCCCUGGAGUCUUUCUUUGAAUAGGCCUGGGGUGGGGCCCAAGAAUGAGCAGAAGAACAGGUUUCCUGGUGAGGCUGAUGCCGCUGGCCCAGGGUUCUCACGUUGAGGACCGAGAGCUUUGAGGUUUUCAUACCUGAUGAUGUCCAGGAACCCUUCUCAGUAGGCACUGAAGACCAUCAGCAGAAUCACAGACCCCAGGAGAGAUGUCGUCAGACAGACACAGAGGCAUCACCGAAUUAAAGUGAAAAUGAAGAAAGGAGCUGAGCAUCUGUUUCAUGACUUUCGUGGCUGUUUUACUAAAGAGGCUAUCCUGGCCCAGUCAGGGCACGCUAUCAUCACCAACUACUUGUUGAACUACGUUCAGGGUCUUGAUCUUGAAGGAGGGACGCGUUCGGGUUGAAAGCCGCCAUGCAGGGUCGAACGGAUCGCAUCGGAGCCCUGAGCUAGCAGGGGCGGGUGUCCACGCGAGGGCCCCCGCCGUGGGAUGUCGCCAGAGGAGUGGCCACUUAUACGUCCGCCUCAUGCAGAGGCUCCUGGAGCGCCCCUGCCGGGAGCUGUUGGGGAAAAAGUACCAGCUUGAGCUGCCGCCGCUCCCCGAGAGGCCGCAAAAGCCCGAGGGCUCCAAGAACUGCCUGCAGAGGCUCAGGGACUGCGAGCUGUCCGCGCUGACGCCGCGCUCCAUGCGGGGCCCAGAGGACCGGGGCGCCCUGGACCACAUGGUCAGGAUGACCACGAGCCUCUAACAGCCCCGCCGGGGCCCUCGCGUGCCAGACUAUGUGCCCCGAGAGCACCUUGUGCUGGGGGAAGAGGCGGCUGGCGGUGCAGGAAAUCCUGGCGGCGCAGGAAAUUCCGGCGGCGCGGCGAGGGGUGGGGGGAGGCAGGCGCAGGAGGCGGGCGAAGAGGAGGGCGCAGAGUAGCAUAAGCCGCUCGGCCUAGCGGCCGCUGGCUCCACAAAGGCCUCCCCAAGAGCCGGCCUCCCACCUGCCCGGCUGCCGGGGUCCUGGGGCUCCGCCGCCCCCGCCCCGCGGACGGCCAGCCUCCUGCCCCUGCAGUGCCUGCAGCAGAGCAGCUUGGGGCCCAGCGUGGUGGUGCCCAGGUCCGCCUCAGCAAGGUGCCCGCGCCCACCUUCCAACCCAAAAGGCCGGCGCGGAAGGGCAGCAUAAAGGCAGCGGCCACCUGCGGAUACCCAAGUGGCCUUACAAGGUGGCCAAGGAGGAGAAACGGGAGGCGGAGGAGGCCGAGAAGAGGCGCCAGGCCAAGGUGCAGGAGAAGCGCCCGCCGCCCUGGAAGAAGAGGACGUGAGAGUCCGCGGGUGCUUGGCACGGGGUUUGAGGGCUGGGUGAGGCCGCGGGGCUGGGCACCAUGGCAGCUCUCGGGACCACCGGGCAGCGCGCGUUUCCACGCUGUCUCUCUAGGAUGCUCCCAGAAAGGGGCUGGGGGAGCCACAUCGAUUCGCUUCACACCAGCCACCCUAGCAAUCAGUACACCUAGGGGGCAUGUUCCCUAAAAGGCUCCCUUUAGAGAACCUCAAUUAAGAUUUUUUUAAAGAUUAAUUUAUUAGGCCAGGCGCGGUGGCUCACGCCUGUAAUCCCAGCACUUUGGGAGGCCGAGGCGGGCGGAUCACCUGAGGUUAGGAGUUUGAGACUAGCCUGACCAACAUGGAGAAACCCCAUCUCUACUAAAAAUACAAAAUUAGCCGGGCGUGGUGGCACAUGCCUGUAAUCCCAACUACUCGGGAGGCUGAGGCAGGAGAAUCGCUUGAACCCUGGAGGCAGAGGUGGCAGGGAGCCAAGAUGGCGCCAUUGCACUUCAGCCUAGGCAACAAGAGCCAAACUCCGUCUCAAUUAAAAAAAAAUCAAUUUAUUAAAGGAUAUUUUCUGUGUAAUUUUGUAUUUUUAAUUGUUGUCCAAUUUGCCAAGUUUUACAAGUGAUAGGGUCCCUUGUAUCCAAGGAAGUUUUUAUACACUUACCUGAAGACCUUUUAUUUAAAACACUGUUUCCAGCAAUAAAUAUUUAUGAUAUCUGUAGGACUUUACACAGAAAUCAUGGGAUUCUCUCCUUUUUGGGCUGUUUGCUUUGGUCUUCUCAUCAUGGGUGGAUGUUUUUAUUAAUUAGAUUAAGUGAUGCCGGAUAUUUCUAUUUGAUGGAGGGAUUGACUGGUUCAGCCACAUGAUCAAGUGAGACAGAGAGAUCAGAUUUUAUUGUAUCUUUUUAAAAAGUAUUAUCCAAUACAGUCAUAUAUUGAGGAAAAACAUUUAUCGUCAAAUUAUAAAACAAUGCAGAGAUAGGCAUGUCUGUAUUGCUAGAAUUAAACUCAUUUUAAGCAAGGAGUUUUAGAUAAACUGUAUACAAAAAUCUUUAACAUAUUAAAAUAGACAUGAGAAAAAUGUGUCAUUUGAUAAAAUGGGGGAAAUGUAAUAAAUGAUUACCAGAAAUAUAAAAUUAAGCCGUAUAUGCUCUUAAGUAAAUCGAAUCUAGGCAUCCUUAAAAUGUAAAAAAGGAUGCAACAAGAGUAAGGAGCCCAGAAUGAUGUAAAUUACAGGAAUGGGGUGUAAUGUAACCUCUAGAGGAGGUGAUGUUUAGAAGAAGCAAAGAGAAUGCAAUGAGAAGCAAACUUGUUUUAGGCAAAUUCUCCUGGAGUGGACCAGGCAGCCCCCUCUUCCAGACUCAGUUCCAGAGAUUCCCUUAUGUGGGUAUUUGUUUUAUUAUUCCUUUGAGGACUGCAUUUGGUGUUUAGUUCAUCCUCAUGUGGACCCUAUGGAAUUUCCAAGAUGCGGGGCCUUAGCACUGUGGCACCUUCCUGCCACACGUACAUAAUUCACAGCAUUACCAAGUCACCACAAGCCCCACGCUCACCUCUGUCAGCCCAGGACCCAGCCAGGCAGUGCCACGUGGUCUCCCAGGCUCGCUUCUCCAAGCCGAACUGCGAAAGUUAUUGAGGCACUGGCCCAGGGAACUGAGCCUUGGGCCUGUCCUAAAGCUCCAUAGGUGACUGCACUGCAGCCCACAUGGAGAGCUGCAGCUCUAACACAGGGAUUUUGAGAGGCCUCAGUGCCAUUUAAGUGGCACUUCCAGGACACCCAUCCUGAGCUCCCACAAAGGGCGCCACCUUCCCAAGAACGUCUAAUUGUCAUUGGAACAGCCAGUGUCAGGCAGCUUCUGCUCAGGCUGAUGUGGCGUCUGACCCUUGGUGGGUUGCCAGACAUUCCUUCCUGUUUCUGCCAUGGGAAGUUGGCACUGGGAAUGGUAUGGAGCCCCCACUUCUACCCUGAGCCUUGGGUGUCUGCUGCUUCCAGGUGAAAAAUGGACAUUUCUGAUACUGCCCAGCCACUACGGCACCACAACCCAUGCUCAUAGUCUCCAGGGAUGUGUAGAACGGCAAUGGCAGGACAGCAAACAACUGGCGAUUUCCCCAGGUCCCACGCUCUUGCGGAGUGAGUAUGUUGGGUCCCUGUCCCCAGUGUGUUCCAGCCUUACCCAGGUGCACAGAGUACCCUGGGGCCAGCACAGGGCUUGUCCAGUGAUGCUCCUGGUGUUCACAAAAUGGCUCCAGAGAUACCUGCAUUUUGAAAAGCCUGCCGAGCCAGCAAGUGUAGGGCAGGACCCGGAUUUCUUUGGCAAAUCUGAAGGUGAGAGGGCCACUUGCCUGCUGAGUAGAAGCUGCCUUUACCUGGCCAGUGUAUGCAACUUGAGAGAAAAUGACAGCUGCAUGGGGCGCUCUGGUGGGACUGGGAAGUCUGAUCUUCCGGGGAGCUGUAGAUAGUGAAUUUCAAGUUGACAGCUACCUUCUCAGGGAUUUAUAUAUAAAUAUAGUUAGAGGAAAAGCUAAAAUCUAUUUUACUAGUUUUUAGUGUUUGUGUAAAGUAAGCUUAAACUGGACAGAAUAAACAUUUCUCAGACAAUGUUGAUGCUACUGAUUACAAGUUAGAUGGCUGGAGCUUGCCCCUUGGUGGAGAAUUUCUUGGUGAUUGGAGACUGGGGACUCUGGCAGCAGAAGUGGCUUUAUGGUGGGUGUGAAGUUGCUUCUGCCCCUCUGAGUGGCCUCUCAUGGAUGUGAAUGCGUGUAUUGACACCAGUGAAAUCCACCUCCGUGUGCGUGGAGGUGGCUGAUGAGAACACAAGUGAGCCAGUCCUGGUUCUUCCCUCCAGAACCGGUCACUCCCAGUCUGACGUUGGAGCAUGUGAACUAAGAGUGACAUUUUUUUCUACUUGCUUCUGUGAAUAAAGUGUUCUACAGUCAGCCAGCACUAAACACCAGAAAGGAGGAGGGAACAGCGUGGAGCAAUUCAUCUGGAAUUACCUCGGUGUGCAGAGGCUGUCCCUUGGCUCCACUUGGGAUAAACAUUGUGAAACAUCGUGGGCCUCUUUCUUCUCAAGCUCCUCCUGACAGCCUCCUGGCAACACUAGAGGCCUCAAGACUAUGGAGAUCAGAAUUGCAAUGGCUUUGUCAUCUCAGCAUUGACCACUCCUGAGACCCAAGGUUCCUCCUGGGAGCAGGAGACAAGGAGUUUGUGAUGUUGGAUGGAAAAUAGGAUAUAUGAAUGCAGAAGGGCUGUGCUGGACCCCUCUUUUCGCUUCUCUCCCUGCUGUCAGCAGUGUCUCUGGCAUGGAGGCGAAUCUGUUGUGGGUGAAACAGAAGCCCCUGGGGUAGGACCAGACCCCAGGCCUGAAAAGGAUGCAAAGCCUGCUGUUUCAGGCUGUCAGGAAGAAUCGUGGGUACCGAGUGAUUAUGAUGAAAUGCAACCCAGAGAGGAAAUGAAUGGGCCCUCACUAAGAAGUGGGUCUGACAUGUCUCUGGCAGCCCACCGGCAAGAGCACGACAUGCCCUGCAGCCCCACCAUCCACACUACAUGAUGUGGGAGGGCUGUCUGUUCAUUCUUACACUGGGGACCCAAGCCUGCUCUGAGGAGUGAGUCACAGCCCUGACGUGCGCCUUGCAUUACUGUUUCCUGAGAUGUGCCCGGAGACUCAAGCUUGCUCAUUUCUGUCCUGACACAGCUCACUGUUCCUUAGGUGGUCAUAGUCCUCCCGUGCUGUGUCAGCUCCUACAUAGCAUUAGUCUUUCACGUGAUAAAGUGCAAGCACUUUUCCAUUUUACAGUAUUUGGGGAAAUUCUAACACACUCCCCAGGGAUUUGUGCAUGUCCUUCUGCCUCCCCGGUGGGUCAUUCUGUGGAUUCCGCACCUGGCAGUCGGUCUUCCCCCUUGGAAGCCCCUAGGAUCCCUGUUUCUACGGGCCUGGUCCUUGGUUUCUACCCCAGUCCCUUUUGGCCGGCACCUGCCUGGAACUGCCUGGAGCGCCAUGGUAUGGGGAAGGACAGGUGGAACCCUGACCACAACAGAUCCUUCUAAAACAACAGUCACAUUGAUGAUGAUGAGUGCAGUGGGGUGAAUGUCGUCACAGCAUGCAUGCUGGGAGCUGCCAAGGGCUUACAACAAAAGCAGUUCUUCCUAAGGCACCCUUUGCAUCUUCCCAUCCACGCCUCUCAGUGCAUUUGGAACUUGCUUAUGCAUUGGAAUAACUUGAGUCAGCUGCUCGUUUCUGUGCCUCUGCACUCACAGGUUCCUUCAUUAACAUUUUAAAUAAGUGGUUAAAAACUCCUCUGGAGGUUGUUUUUGAAAGAAACAGGGAAAAGAAAAACACACACUACCUGAAUUGAUUUGAGUAAUUUUCCAGUGACUCAGUUGAAACUCAGUGUUGCAUACAUAAUUUCCUCAUGCUGAGCCAGCCUGAAAUAAGACUUGAUAAGAGGCACAGCCCUAAGUAGCAGGCAGUGCCACUGUGGACAGUGUACACUAUGGUGUGAGUGUGUGCACAGGCGAGCCUAAGUGUGUGUACUCAUACACACAGAUAAACCGAAAGGACACUGGGCUUUGUGCUGGCAAAGGCUGUGAUGCUGCUGUGGCUUUCUAUGGGCCCUGGGGAGUGUCAGAUGGGAAGUGCUUUGAUGGCAUGUUGUUCAGUGUAUUUAAUGGGGUCUCCCAUGGCCCGAGGACCCACUGUGAGCACUCCACCCACUGUGGCGCAGAACACGGCUGGAGUCAUCAUAGCCCAGGUCUUUAUUGAAAGGGAGUGUUGACCCAGAAGCCUCAUAUAGAAACCAUUUGGCAAGGUCUGGACCAUCUCUCUGCAACUGACCUGCCUUGGCCGCACAGAGGGACCCAAACCCAAAAGGCCCAGACCCAAGGGAGACUGAAUCACAUUUACCAUUACACCAGCUUUCAUUUAUUUGUUUCCAUAUGAUCAUAGGGACUGUAUUACUAAGUAUGCUUAUAAAUGCUAUUUACAGACUGUUCCCUUUUAUAAGGUGAAAGAUUAAUAAAGAACAAAAAAUUGCCUGUAGAAAACCAUGCCUGAGGCCAGGAGCAGUGGCUCAUGCCUGUAAUCCCAGCACUUUGGGAGACCAAGACAAGCAGAUCACCCAAGGUCAGGAGUUCAAGACCAGCCUGGCCAACUUGGAGAAACCCCAGCUCUACAAAAAUACAAAAAAAAAAAAAAAAUUAGCUGGCAUGAUGGUGGGUGCAUGUUAUUCCAGCUACUUGGGUGGCUGAGAGAGGAGAAUCGCU
RNAcentral lists this long non-coding RNA (7395 nucleotides) under Homo sapiens (human). Its description in RNAcentral is "non-protein coding lnc-TRIM43-1:7". Lineage: Eukaryota; Metazoa; Chordata; Mammalia; Primates; Hominidae. The record is from RNAcentral.